AGUGAACGCUGGCGGUAGGCCUAAUACAUGCAAGUCGAACGGAAGCACAGUAAGCGCUUGCUCUUACGGGUGGCGGGUGGCGGACGGGUGAGGCAUAGAUAGGCAUCUUCUUUUUCGUGGGUGAUUACGUAGGGAAACUUAUGCUAAUAGCGCAUAUGUCCUACGGGUGAAAGCAGGGGAUAUUGGGACUUUUCGUGAUUGUAUUAGCUGGUGUCGGAUUAGCUAGUUGGCGGGGUAAAGGACCACCAAGGCAACGAUGCAUAGCAGGUCUGAGAGGAUGAUCAGCCACACUGGAACUGAGACACGGUCCAGACUCCUACGGGAGGCAGCAGUAGGGAAUAUUGCGCAAUGGGCGCAAGCCUGAUCCAGCAAUACCGCGUGAGUGAAGAAGGCCUUCGGAUCGUAAAGCUCUGUUGUUGGGGAAGAAAAUCAGUGUAAGAAUCCCUGCCUAUUCUGACGGUACCCAAACAGAAAGCACCGGCUAACUACGUG
This 492-nucleotide ribosomal RNA is filed under the name uncultured bacterium. Its description in RNAcentral is "partial 16S ribosomal RNA". It matches the Rfam family "Bacterial small subunit ribosomal RNA", at positions 29 to 507 of the family's 1533-position model. The record is from RNAcentral.